Molecule: long non-coding RNA, 270 nt
Filed under: Anneissia japonica
Lineage: Eukaryota; Metazoa; Echinodermata; Crinoidea; Comatulida; Comatulidae
Description: uncharacterized LOC117112436
Source: RNAcentral
GUUUGGAAGUAACAGAGGAAAUUGUUAAAGGAAAGUUGCCCUGGGAUAAAUUGUUUGAGCCUACUAACUUUUUCCAUCAGUACAAACAUUACAUUGUAUUGAGUGCAAGUGCAGGCUCAGAAAAAGACCAUUUAAAAUGGGUUGGACUUGUUGAAUCAAAAAUUAGGAUACUGAUUGGUAAUCUUGAGAGGAAUCCUGUUAUCAAACUAGCCCAUGUUAAUCCAAAGUCAUACGCCCCACAAAACACGGAAGAGAAGUAAGGUUUUUUCU